This 495-nucleotide ribosomal RNA is filed under the name uncultured bacterium. RNAcentral describes it as "partial 16S ribosomal RNA". It matches the Rfam family "Bacterial small subunit ribosomal RNA", at positions 28 to 506 of the family's 1533-position model. The record is from RNAcentral.
GAUGAACGCUGGCGGCGUGCCUAAUACAUGCAAGUCGAGCGAACGGACGAGAAGCUUAAUUCCCUGAUGUACGCGGCGGACGGACACGCACACGAGGAUAACCUACCACUAAGACUGGGAUAACUUCGGGAAACCGGAGCUAAUACCGGAUAAUAUUUUGAACCGCAUGGUUCAAAAGUGAAAGACGGUCUUGCUGUCACUUAUAGAUGGAUCCGCGCUGCAUUAGCUAGUUGGUAAGGUAACGGCUUACCAAGGCAACGAUGCAUAGCCGACCUGAGAGGUUGAUCGGCCACACUGGACCUGAGACACGGUCCAGACUCCUACGGGAGGCAGCAGUAGGAAACCUGCCGCAAUGGGCGAAAGCCUGACGGAGCAACGCCGCGUGAGUGAUGAAGGUCUUCGGAUCGUAAAACUCGGUUAUUAGGGAAGAACAUAUGUGUAAGUAACUGUGCACAUCUUGACGUUACCUAAUCAGAAAGCCACGGCUAACUACGU